CGGGCAGAGGGUGGGGGCGUGGCAGGCCCCGGGAGCGCGCGCGCUCAGCCAACUUCCAGUGCGACGCCGCCCUAGCCGCCGUUCGCGCCUGGGUGGCUGCGAGGACGUCGUCUGGGUUUCGGCCAAUGGCCAGCGCCCACGUCGGGGGAACGCCUCGUGACCGCGCGUCACCGGAGAAAAAGGCUUGUUUCCCUUUCUUCUUGCGCUCCUUUUCCCCUCCCCCACGUGGGCCUCUAGCUUUCCAUUACCAAAUUCAUUUCAUUCCCGUGCGUGAAUAAAACCACACUUUUCUCUUGUACUUUAUGGUUGCAAGAAAGCCCCCUCGGUGUCUUCUCGCGGGUUUCAAAAUGCCAGAAACUGGUGUGUGUCUGACUGCGAUGCCCACUGUGAGGGCGCGCACUGAAAAUUCCUGUGACACCGAUUGUGUGUAUCUUGAGCACCUUGGAAAGACCUUAAAACGCGCGGCUGACACUGAAAUUUCAUCCUUAACAGCUGAGGCAGGAGCGUUCGAGUUGGAAAGCCAGACUGUUGAAAUGAAGGAAGGAAGUCUACAGUUUCUUAUCGCCUUCUUAUCAUCAUGAGGAGCCCCAGAAUUGGAGCCAACUGGGAGGGAAGCAGAGCCAAUAGAUCACAAGCAAAAGACCAAGUCCUGAUGACAAACAUUUGUGCUCCUUGAUCAAGCACAUGAUGGCACCUUUUGAAAUAUCGAGAAAUACAUGUGUUGAACAUGAAUCUUGGACUGCGAUUGCUUCAAAGGUAUCUUGUACAACUUGAUUUUCUAUGAUAACGAUUACUCAGGUAAAAAUAUACUGCUGGAGUUCCCUUCGUGGCUCAGCAGUUAAUGAACCCAAUUAGGAUCCAUAAGGAUGUGGGUUUGAUCCCUGGCCUCUCUCAGUGAGCUAAGGAUCCUGUGUUGUUGUGGCUGUGGUGUAAGCCGUUAGCUACAGCUCCGAUUCAUUUGACCCCUAGCCUGGGAACCUCCAUAUGCCGUGGGUGUGGCCAUAAAAAACAAAAUAUGAUACCACUAAAUGGUCCUUUGAUUCUGGUAUUUCGUUUUCAAAUUUGUUAGAAUUAGUUAUAAUUCUGUAACUCGUACUCUAGAGACUAGACAUUUUCUUCCAAGGUUUCUUUGCACAUUUCUUGAAUUGUGAUUCCUCUUCUGACUUUGAAAUAUUCAAAAUUCUCCCAAUAAUAGGGGAAAGAUGGAGUUACAAAGAUUAGUGUAAGCAUUUCUUACAUUGCUUUCACUGUGGAGUGUAAUCGCAACAUCUCACAUAUAUGCCAAAGUCAGAUUCAGAUAUGGUUUCUAUUACUUAGUCUCUUGUCCUUCAUUUCUCAUGUAGUAUUUGCCAGCUAGGCAAAGAGCUGGCAAAAGGAAAUUCCAACACUUAAAAUAUGUACUUUUGGCAAAGGAUUGAGAUUUUCCCAGAUUCAUAGUGUUCUUCCUUUAAGUAUACUUGAAGAAAACCAAACGUCCAUUUCUAAGAGUCAAGUCCUUGGCAGAGACAUUAUUUAUGGCCUAAGAACAUCAUAAAUGCCAUAGAUUCUUUAUUUAAAUACUCCUUGAAUAGUGUUGCUUCUAAGAAGCUAGAGACCAGAGGUGAAGGGAAGAAGAACAAACUUCUGGGAAGGAUGAGGUCAAUUUUCCAGAGUUUGGAAGGAUUUUGUCAAUUUACAACUAACUCAUGCCUAAUGAUAAUCACCACUAUUAUUCUCAGCAAAAUAAGAUACAGAGCAGUUGGCUACAAGUUAUCUAUGUUUUCUAAAGAAAUAACAAAUAUAGAAAGCACAGGGAAAUCCUGUACCUAACAGAAGAAUCUAUUUGGGAACUAGAUAUCACAAAAUAGAUCUGGGAAAAAUGGUUUUCAAGUUGUUCUGUGUUCUCUGAAUUACAGAGAUUGAAAGUGAAACAAUGUUAAUGGUAGCUUGCAUAAAAGGAGACUAAACAAUGGCCAAAUAAUUUUGGAAGACUAGAUUGAGAAUCUUUUGUCUCACUUUGGCAUUUUUCCUGGUCCUACAUUGCUGUGAUAUGACUAUGUCAUUUCCUUGCUCUGCUUUGCUCUCAGUUUUGCAUACUGUAUAUUAUGGGUGGAAUUGUGUUUCCCCCACCAAAAAAUCUGUCCAAGUCCUAACCCCUCAGAACAUGACCUGAUUGGGAAAUGUGCCCUUUACAGAAGUAACCGAGUUAAAAUGAAGUCAUUAGGAUGGGCCCUAAUCCAAUAUGACAAAUAUCUUUAUAUAAAAAGAUUUGGACCUAGAGGUAGAUAUACAUGGAGGGAAGAUGAUGUAAACACACAAAAGAGAAGAUGGCCAUUGGGAUUAUUGGAGACAGGGAUUGGUUGUGACAAGGCAAGGUAUACCUGGGGCCACCAGAAGCUAAGGUGAGAGCCAUGGAACAGAUUUGCCCUCAUAGCUCUUAAAAGGAAGCAAUUGAUUUUGGACUUCUAGUCUCCAGAACUAUGAGAAAAUAAAUCUCAUUUAAACCAUUCAGUUUAUGGUACUUUGUUAUGGCAGCCCUAGGAAAUUAAUAUACUGUACUUAUACCAAACCUAGGAGCUUUCAAUGUUUCAUCCAAUCCUUUGCUGCCUAUUGGGAAGUAAAAUUUCAGACCCUCCUAAAUGCCUUUCCCUCUAUCCUCCACCCAGUUUCUUCUGCACAACUGUAGAUGAAUGGCAGGUAAAAGUAGUCCCUAUUGGGAGGAUUCUCACUUGUUCAGAAAGGUUGAAUUGUGUAAGUGAUGUGAAUUGCAUGAGAAUUGUGAUGCAGAUUACUUCAUGUCAGGACCAGUAAAACCUUAGACCUUAAGUAUCUCCCUGAUGAAGGAAUAUUGACAGAUCUUAACUUUGGGGAUGGUGUUGUGAUAAUAACCAAUUCAAAGUAGAAUAUUGCUUCUCUUCAAAGAAGAUUCUAAACAGGGAGUCAAUAACAUGAAACUUCAUGUCAUCUAGUCCAAAAUGUAAUACUAGCUCGGGCAUUGACUAAUCAAGAUUGUCUUGCCCCUUGUGUUCUUGUGUUGGGAAAUAACUUAGUUCAGUAUCUUUAAGAUUUAUUCACCUUGUAUUUGCACUGAUCACAUUCAUUGAACUGCAGACUGGAGCCAAGAACAGUAUUUUGAAGCUGCAAUGGUGAUAGGCAGACUGUGUUUCAGUCUUUGGAGUAAAUCCAGCCAUCUUAAAUAUUGAAGUGUUUCUUUAUGACACUCUGGAGACAUUUGCAUCAUGCUGUAUUCUUUGUGAUAUGCUGAGCCCAGCCAUUACAUUUGAAUUCUUUUCUAAAAUAGGUACAAUAUCUUAGUAAAAAUUACUUGAAAAACUGAUGUGAAUAAAUGACAGAAAAUUCCCAUGUAGACAUUUUAAAAAUAUAAAUAAAUUGUAUCUGGUGGGAUGGAAAAUAUAAAUAUUUUGACAUAACACAUAUUUUUAUUUAAGCCUAGUUUAUAUAUCUACAGAGAAGAGAUUGGGGCUUUAAGAUUCAUUUGCAGAGUUCCUGUCAUGGCUUAGUGGUUAACGAA
This is a non-coding RNA of Sus scrofa (pig), 3511 nucleotides long. The record is from RefSeq and is a predicted model, not a curated record. Lineage: Eukaryota; Metazoa; Chordata; Mammalia; Artiodactyla; Suidae.